AUACGGAGGGGGCUAGCGUUGUUGGGAAUUACUGGGCGUAAAGCGCGUGUAGGCGGAUCGUUAAGUCAGGGGUGAAAGCCCGGAGCUCAACUCCGGAAUUGCCCUUGAUACUGGCGGUCUAGAGGCCGGGAGAGGUGAGCGGAAUUCCCAGUGUAGAGGUGAAAUUCGUAGAUAUUGGGAGGAACACCAGUGGCGAAGGCGGCUCACUGGCCCGGUUCUGACGCUGAGACGCGAAAGCGUGGGGAGCAAACAGGAUUAGAUACCCUAGUAGUCC
This 274-nucleotide ribosomal RNA is filed under the name uncultured bacterium. Its description in RNAcentral is "partial 16S ribosomal RNA". It matches the Rfam family "Bacterial small subunit ribosomal RNA", at positions 523 to 796 of the family's 1533-position model. The record is from RNAcentral.